Molecule: long non-coding RNA, 1234 nt
Organism: Cannabis sativa
Lineage: Eukaryota; Viridiplantae; Streptophyta; Magnoliopsida; Rosales; Cannabaceae
Exons: 3
Source: RefSeq, a predicted model, not a curated record
CUGAAAUUCUUGGUUUUUGAGAAUUUUAUGGGUGACUUUUAAUUUUUAUUUAAUAAAAUAAUAAAAUAUUAUUUAUCUAUAAUAAAAUAAUAAUAAAUAUCCUAAAUUAAAUAUUUGAAUUUGAACUGAUAUUUAUCUAUAAAGCAAAACACACUUACCGGCUUUGUUGGAAAGCCACAAAGAUGGGUAUCGAAUCGAAUCGCAGCAGAGGAAAGAUGGGUUGGUGGCUAAGACUGUGAAGCAGUGGAAUGUGAAGAUUAUCUCAUUAAGAUUUUUAUCACUAACAAUUUGAAAAAGAUGAAACUUUAGAAGGAUCAAAACUCAUCUAACAUAUAGAAAAAAAACUACAAAAAUUUUACAGCCUCCCAGUCCCAGUUACAAUAACAUCAAAAACAGCUUGCAACUUUUUGAGAUUCAGUCUCUCUCUCUCCACCCCUGACUUUGGUAACUGAAUAUGUUACCAACGUUGGAUUUGGAAGCUUAGCUAGGCUCUAGCUAAGUGAGGACCAUCGAUACAGCGACCAUUGAGAGAGAAUACCGAAGAGAAAGAAUGAAGCAGAACCGCCACAGCAGUCAUCGUGACUUGACCCCUCUUUGGAAUCAAACGCCCAGAAAACUUCUGGUUCAAAUUCCCACCACCUUCCAUCAAAGCCCUCUUAGCAUCAGCCAUUUUGCAAUCUGGUUUUCUCCCUUAAAACUCGUAUGGGUAUUUGAACUUGAACAGAGGAAAAACAAACACAGAAAAAGUGAAUGAUUAUAAGAAAUUGGAUAAAGUUGGAUAAGCAAGAACCGCCCCCAGAAGGUCGCUUGUCGAAUGCCACCAAAGGUUCUGAUCACUUGAGGGAUGUAUUUGGCCACAUGGGUCUUAGUGAUCAGGAUAUUGUUGUCUUAUCUGGAGGUCACAAUUCCCAGUUGUGGAUGUAUUGGUUCUACUUCGAUAUGAGGAUGAUCCUGUGACUGUGAGGAGACAAUAGAAUGGAGCUAAUUAUUAAGGAUUUAUGACUUGUUACACUCGUUAUGUGUGCCCUGAAUGUUAGGUAGAUGAGAUUAGAUUCCCAAAUUUGGAAAAAUUACCAUGUAGCUGCUUUGAGUUUUAUGGAUUGUGAAACCUUCUGUAUCCUAUAGCUGUAACAAUUUGCUGUUCUUAGUUUCUGUUGUUUUAAGGUUUACAUUACAUAGUGGAGUGAAGUAUGAGGUUUGAUGAAUAUAUACCAUGGUAGUGGUUAUGUGAAAA